UUGGAGGGCAAGUCUGGUGCCAGCAGCCGCGGUAAUUCCAGCUCCAAUAGCGUAUAUUAAAGUUGUUGUGGUUAAAAAGUUCGUAGUUGAACCUUGGGCCUGGCUGGCCGGUCCGCCUCACCGCGUGUACUGGUCCGGCCGGGCCUUUCCCUCUGUGGAACCCCAUGCCCUUCACUGGGUGUGGCGGGGAAACNGGACUUUUACUGUGAAAAAAUUGAGUGCUCCAGGCAGGCCUAUGCUCGAAUACAUUAGCAUGGAAUAAUAGAAUAGGACGUGUGG
Molecule: ribosomal RNA, 279 nt
Filed under: uncultured Ascomycota
Lineage: Eukaryota; Fungi; Ascomycota
Description: partial 18S ribosomal RNA
Rfam family: Eukaryotic small subunit ribosomal RNA
Source: RNAcentral